GCCCCGGUCGUAUAGCCCGGACAAGUAUGCGGGCCUCUCGAGCCCGUGACCCGGGUUCAAAUCCCGGCCGGGGCACCA
This 78-nucleotide transfer RNA is filed under the name Caldivirga maquilingensis IC-167. RNAcentral's name for it is "tRNA-Glu (CTC) (tRNA-Glu-CTC-1-1)". It matches the Rfam family "tRNA". From Rfam's summary of the family: Transfer RNA (tRNA) molecules are approximately 80 nucleotides in length. RNAcentral also lists the same sequence under 1 other name. The record is from RNAcentral. Lineage: Archaea; Thermoproteati; Thermoproteota; Thermoprotei; Thermoproteales; Thermoproteaceae.